Long non-coding RNA from Leopardus geoffroyi (Geoffroy's cat), 1039 nucleotides. RefSeq lists it as uncharacterized. NCBI's taxonomy places the organism in Eukaryota, Metazoa, Chordata, Mammalia, Carnivora, Felidae. The record is from RefSeq and is a predicted model, not a curated record. The transcript has 3 exons.
CCCCGCCACCCGCAGCUCCGCCCGCCGGGCCGGGACCCGGCGGAGGCGGGGAGGGGCGGGGCGGGGGCGCACCUGUUUGGCCAAUCGACCCCACUCCUGCCACCCCGCCCCGGCCAGCCUUCCAGACCGAGCAAGUCCGGUCCCCUCGGCUCUGGGCACACGCCCCCUGUCCGCUCUCGGACCCGGGAUCCAGGCCGGGCCACAUGCUCCCCUCCCUCCCCUUCCCGGUCCCAGCCGGCCGUCUCAGCCAGCCCGCCGAGGCCCUCCGUGCGGCCGGGCUGCGCUCCUUCCCCAGCCCCCGGGACGUCAAAGACAAAAUGCCGGCUUCGGGCUGGGGGCUGGGGGGUACAGGUCUGAGGACUGCACCGCGACUCUGCCCACCCCUCUUCUACUCAACACCCUCCUCUCCCACAAGGAUUCGCGCGCGUCCUCGGGCCCCUUACACUUCGCGGUGAGCUUGCCUGGAUCCCCGACCGCGGGGGCCGCGGGGCUGAUGCGGGUGCAAAGCUCUGGGACCGGAUGGCAGACAGGAAGACUGAGGCCGAAGGGAAGCGAACGCUUCUCAGACGUGGUGGCCGGACUGCGACUUUUUCAAACUAAAGGCGCUGAGCCCUGGAACAGUCCCUGAAAAACCCCCUGCACGAGAGAUAAUAUGUCUCAGAGCCUGCCUCCCAGAAAACCCAGCCCGUGACGGGGAGCGCGGGAGACAUUUGCUGUGCGUCCUGCUGACGAGAAUGACCCAGGAGAGGGGGAGAGGUGAGUGAUAUUCGCGGAAGCAGGCGAGAUCUCAGGAGGGGCAGCGAGGCAGGCUCAUCCUGAGACAGAAGCAGAAAUUGGAGGCAAUCUGGGGUGGGAAUGGGGUCCCACCAAUGGGGUCACUCCCAAUGGAGUGAGGCAUGGCCUUAACUUUUUUUUUUUUUUCCUAUGCGGCUGCAAGUGACGUUGGCUGCUCAGAGGAGGGACAGCUAUUCGAUAGAUGUUAGAAUUACAUAAGAAAUUAAUGAUCAUAGCGGCUGAUAAAUGUUGCCACAGCAGUAGU